AGUGAACGCUGGCGGUAGGCCUAACACAUGCAAGUCGAACGGCAGCACAGUAAGAGCUUGCUCUUACGGGUGGCGAGUGGCGGACGGGUGAGGAAUACAUCGGAAUCUACUUUUUCGUGGGGGAUAACGUAGGGAAACUUACGCUAAUACCGCAUACGACCUACGGGUGAAAGCAGGGGAUCUUCGGACCUUGCGCGAUUGAAUGAGCCGAUGUCGGUUUAGCUAGUUGGCGGGGUAAAGGCCCACCAAGGCGACGAUCCGUAGCUGGUCUGAGAGGAUGAUGAGCCACACUGGAACUGAGACACGGUCCAGACUCCUACGGGAGGCAGCAGUGGGGAAUAUUGGACAAUGGGCGCAAGCCUGAUCCAGCCAUACCGCGUGGGUGAAGAAGGCCUUCGGGUUGUAAAGCCCUUUUGUUGGGAAAGAAAAGCAGCAGGUUAAUACCCCGCUGUUCUGACGGUACCCAAAGAAUAAGCACCGGCUAACUUCGUG
This 492-nucleotide ribosomal RNA is filed under the name uncultured bacterium. RNAcentral describes it as "partial 16S ribosomal RNA". It matches the Rfam family "Bacterial small subunit ribosomal RNA", at positions 29 to 507 of the family's 1533-position model. The record is from RNAcentral.